UGAGUUCCGGCUGUCCGCGCCGUACCAGGGGACCUGGACCUCCUGACGGCUUACCUAGCAGUGCCCGGGAUGGUGGCUGAGGGUAAAGCUGACAGAACUGGAGGUGGAGGUGGAGGAAGUAGCAGGCCAGAGAGGACUCGAAGAUCCUUAGAAGGAGCCAUAGACGGAACCAUAGGAGGCGCCCAGGAGCUAUGGGCUCCAGAAGUUUCCUCCUAAACUAGUCUCAGCGAGGCUCAUUGACACUCACCGGGGGUUUGACAUUCCCCUUGGCUAGGGCCUGUUCUGGAAAUAGUCCAAGAGGGAGAUGGAGCCCCUGGCUCUGGGGCAUCCAAUCUGAUGGUGAUGAGAAGGCAUGAUGCCUCUUGUUCUAUUCUUUUUUCUUUCUUCUUUUUUAAAAAAAUAAAAGUCCAGUAAUGUGCUGACUUCAU
Molecule: long non-coding RNA, 428 nt
Filed under: Pongo abelii (Sumatran orangutan)
Lineage: Eukaryota; Metazoa; Chordata; Mammalia; Primates; Hominidae
Description: lincRNA
Source: RNAcentral